Molecule: ribosomal RNA, 657 nt
Filed under: uncultured prokaryote
Description: bacterial SSU rRNA
Rfam family: Bacterial small subunit ribosomal RNA
Source: RNAcentral
GAUGAACGCUGACAGAAUGCUUAACACAUGCAAGUCGAUUCAAUUUACCUUCGGGUAUUGAGGAUGGCGGACGGGUGAGUAACGCGUAAGGAACUUGCCUCUUGGUCUGGGACAACUGUUGGAAACGACAGCUAAUACCGGAUAUUAUGAGAUUCUCGCAUGGGAAACUUAUGAAAGCUAUAUGCGCCAAGAGAGAGCCUUGCGUUCCAUUAGCUAGUUGGUGGGGUAACGGCCCACCAAGGCGACGAUGGAUAGCCGGCCUGAGAGGGUGAACGGCCACAAGGGGACUGAGACACGGCCCUUACUCCUACGGGAGGCAGCAGUGGGGAAUAUUGGACAAUGGGCCACAAGCCUGAUCCAGCAAUUCUGUGUGCACGAUGAAGGUCUUCGGAUUGUAAAGUGCUUUCAGUUGGGAAGAAGAAAGUGACGGUACCAACAGAAGAAGCGACGGCUAAAUACGUGCCAGCAGCCGCGGUAAUACGUAUGUCGCAAGCGUUAUCCGGAUUUAUUGGGCGUAAAGCGCGUCUAGGCGGAAAAAUAAGUCUGAUGUUAAAAUGCGGGGCUCAACUCCGUAUUGCGUUGGAAACUGUUUUUCUAGAGUACUGGAGAGGUGGGCGGAACUACNAGUGUAGAGGUGAAAUUCGUAGAUAUUUGUAG